AAAAUGCAAAAAGAUGCUGCCUAAGCAGGUGUUAGCAUAUACAACCACAAAUGUUCCAUAUUAUUUUUCGAUUUGUUUGAGCAAUUACUAGUCAACUCAUACAAUAAUCAAAAAGUAAAUACCACUAAAACCAACCUAUGAUGCAAUAUUACUUUUCAGUCGAAUGCUCUGUAGAUUAACUAUAAAUCGCACUAUGUUAUUAUAAGAUCCAUAACAAGCCAUUUACUAGCACCAAAAUUGGCAUUGGAUCAACAGCUGACAGUGUACUGACCACCGACAUCCUCCCUCUGAAAAUUAAAUCAUCUCUUGAACUCAUUUAAACUCGAAGGUAGGUGGUAUAGGAGCAUCAAAGCUCUCUAAAACCUGUGUCUUGCUACCACCACCUAUCACCGUCUCCUCCUUCUUUCCACCACCAAAAAUUCCUCCAAACCAGGAAGAAGAGGAUGGUGCUGAUGAUUCUGCCAUCAUACCAUCAAUACUUCCUGGAGCUUGACCAGGAAGCUGCCCCAUUGGUUGACCAGGCAGCUGCCCAGAUGGAUAUCCAGGCACUCCAGCGACAUUAGGUAGUGGCUCCUCCAUGGGUGGGAAGUUCUGUGGAGCACUCAUGACUUUAUUUAACAUAAUUCCAGCU
Molecule: unclassified non-coding RNA, 631 nt
Filed under: Hevea brasiliensis (rubber tree)
Lineage: Eukaryota; Viridiplantae; Streptophyta; Magnoliopsida; Malpighiales; Euphorbiaceae
Source: RNAcentral